This is a long non-coding RNA of Triplophysa rosa, 344 nucleotides long. RefSeq lists it as uncharacterized. The record is from RefSeq and is a predicted model, not a curated record. NCBI's taxonomy places the organism in Eukaryota, Metazoa, Chordata, Actinopteri, Cypriniformes, Nemacheilidae. The transcript has 3 exons.
UGUUUUCGGGGCAGUCGGGAACGAUGACAGCCGGCAGACCGCGCAGCACCUGUACCGACAGCGCACGAGCGCACAGCGCAGGUCUCUGACAGAAACAUCCAGAACACUGAGGUGAGGUGAGAGAGUCUGCCGGCUGUCUUCUUCUAUCAGCAUCACCACCAGACGCAUAUAUUCACACAUACUGUGUACGACUGCUCGAUAAUCGCGAGAAUGAGUUAAGCAAUGCAGUAACAGUAAGCGCUGGAGCGCUGCAGUAGCAGCACCCACUGCCUCAGUAUUCCAACGCACUUUAUCUACACUUUCUGCUCCACGGGAUGUGAGUUCAGAUAAGCAAUCAGGAUGUU